UCGCCCCAUAGUCUGGGAUACCACUUGGAAACAGGUGCUAAUACCGGAUAAGAAAGCAGAUCGCAUGAUCAGCUUUUAAAAGGCGGCGUAAGCUGUCGCUAUGGGAUGGCCCCGCGGUGCAUUAGCUAGUUGGUAAGGUAAAGGCUUACCAAGGCGAUGAUGCAUAGCCGANGUUGAGAGACUGAUCGGCCACAUUGGGACUGAGACACGGCCCAAACUCCUACGGGAGGCAGCAGCC
This 238-nucleotide ribosomal RNA is filed under the name uncultured Lactobacillus sp. RNAcentral describes it as "partial 16S ribosomal RNA". It matches the Rfam family "Bacterial small subunit ribosomal RNA", at positions 126 to 355 of the family's 1533-position model. Lineage: Bacteria; Bacillati; Bacillota; Bacilli; Lactobacillales; Lactobacillaceae. The record is from RNAcentral.